AAUGUAAAGUUUUUCCAGUGAAACAAAACGUAAGAAUCUGAGUUUGUUUUUCAAAGAUCACUAAAUUUUAGUUAUGAUUAUAUCACAUUUUCCAAAAUGUGUGGCAGUUUUUGCCCUCCUUGCCCUGAGUGUUGGUGCACUGGACACUUUUAUUGCUGCAGUAUAUGAGCAUGCGGUGAUAUUACCAAACAGAACAGAAACACCUGUUUCAAAAGAAGAAGCUUUGCUCCUGAUGAACAAGAACAUAGAUGUUUUGGAGAAAGCAGUUAAGCUGGCAGCGAAGCAGGGUGCACAUAUCAUUGUGACCCCAGAAGAUGGAAUCUAUGGUUGGAUCUUCACCAGGGAGAGCAUUUACCCCUAUCUAGAGGAUAUACCAGACCCUGGAGUGAACUGGAUUCCAUGUAGAGACCCCUGGAGGUAAUAUCAUAUCAUUAAUUUCUAAACAAAAAGUUGUGAUUUGGUAAAACACCAACAGUAAACUCACUGAACUUGACUGGUAAUUGUGUUGAUAAAUAGUCAAUCUGUGGCAUAGGAUGUAGGUGCUUUUUUUUCCCUGUAAUUUCAACUUUUAGUUUAGAUUGAGGGAGUACAUGUGCAGGUUUGUUACAUGGGCAAAUUGCAUGACGCUGAGGAUUGGGGUACAAUGAUUGCACCACCCAGCAUAGUAUCCAACAGGAAGGUUUUCAGCCCUUGCCUUCCUCUCUCUCUCUCCCCUCUAUUAGUUCCCAGUGUCUAUUGCUGUCAUCUUUAUGGCCAUGAGUUCCCAAUGCUUAGCUCCCCCUUAUAAGUGAGAACAUGCAGUAUUUGGUUUUCUGUUCCUGUGUUAACUUGUUGAGGAUAAUGUCCUUUGUUGCUGCAAAAGACAUGAUUUUGUUCCUUCUUGUGGGCACCUAGGUUAAUUCCAUAUCUUUGCUGUUGUGAAAAGUGCUGCAAUGAACAUACAAGUGCACGAGUCUUUUUGGUAGAAUGAUUUCCUUUCCUUUGGGUAUAUACCUAGUAAUGGGAUUGUGAGUCGAAUGGUUGCUGUGUUUUAAGU
RNAcentral lists this small RNA (1036 nucleotides) under Pan troglodytes (chimpanzee). RNAcentral's name for it is "retained intron". The record is from RNAcentral. Lineage: Eukaryota; Metazoa; Chordata; Mammalia; Primates; Hominidae.